RNAcentral lists this ribosomal RNA (501 nucleotides) under uncultured bacterium. Its description in RNAcentral is "partial 16S ribosomal RNA". It matches the Rfam family "Bacterial small subunit ribosomal RNA", at positions 28 to 523 of the family's 1533-position model. The record is from RNAcentral.
GAUGAACGCUAGCGACGGGCUUAACACAUGCAAGUCGAGAGGCAGCGGGGGUAGCAAUACCCGCCGGCGACCGGCGCACGGGUGAGUAACGCGUAUGCAACUUACCUAUCAGAGGGGGAUAACCCGGCGAAAGUCGGACUAAUACCGCAUGAAGCAGGGGCCCCGCAUGGGGAUAUUUGCUAAAGAUUCAUCGCUGAUAGAUAGGCAUGCGUUCCAUUAGGCAGUUGGCGGGGUAACGGCCCACCAAACCGACGAUGGAUAGGGGUUCUGAGAGGAAGGUCCCCCACAUUGGUACUGAGACACGGACCAAACUGCUACGGGGGGCAGCAGUGAGGAAUAUUGGUCAAUGGGCGCGAGCCUGAACCAGCCAAGUCGCGUGAGGGAUGAAGGUUCUAUGGAUCGUAAACCUCUUUUAUAAGGGAAUAAAGUGCGGGACGUGUCCUGUUUUGUAUGUACCUUAUGAAUAAGGAUCGGCUAACUCCGUGCCAGCCGCCGCAGUAA